UACGAAGGGGGCGAGCGUUGUUCGGAUUUACUGGGCGUAAAGGGCGCGCAGGCGGCUUUGUUUGUCAGGCGUGAAAGCCCCGGGCUUAACCUGGGAACUGCGUUUGAUACGGCAGGGCUAGAGUUCGGGAGAGGAGAGUGGAAUUCCCAGUGUAGAGGUGAAAUUCGUAGAUAUUGGGAAGAACACCGGUGGCGAAGGCGGCUCUCUGGACCGAGACUGACGCUGAGGCGCGAAAGCGUGGGGAGCAAACAGG
Molecule: ribosomal RNA, 253 nt
Filed under: uncultured bacterium
Lineage: Bacteria
Description: partial 16S ribosomal RNA
Rfam family: Bacterial small subunit ribosomal RNA
Source: RNAcentral